GAUGAACGCUGGCGGCGUGCCUAAUACAUGCAAGUCGAGCGAACAGACGAGGAGCUUGCUCCUCUGACGUUAGCGGCGGACGGGUGAGUAACACGUGGAUAACCUACCUAUAAGACUGGGAUAACUUCGGGAAACCGGAGCUAAUACCGGAUAAUAUAUUGAACCGCAUGGUUCAAUAGUGAAAGACGGUUUUGCUGUCACUUAUAGAUGGAUCCGCGCCGCAGAAGCUAGUUGGUAAGGUAACGGCUUACCAAGGCGACGAUGCGUAGCCGACCUGAGAGGGUGAUCGGCCACACUGGAACUGAGACACGGUCCAGACUCCUACGGGAGGCAGCAGUAGGGAAUCUUCCGCAAUGGGCGAAAGCCUGACGGAGCAACGCCGCGUGAGUGAUGAAGGUCUUCGGAUCGUAAAACUCUGUUAUUAGGGAAGAACAAAUGUGUAAGUAACUAUGCACGUCUUGACGGUACCUAAUCAGAAAGCCACGGCUAACUACGUG
RNAcentral lists this ribosomal RNA (497 nucleotides) under uncultured bacterium. Its description in RNAcentral is "partial 16S ribosomal RNA". It matches the Rfam family "Bacterial small subunit ribosomal RNA", at positions 28 to 507 of the family's 1533-position model. The record is from RNAcentral.